Non-coding RNA from Anas platyrhynchos (mallard), 4656 nucleotides. The record is from RefSeq and is a predicted model, not a curated record. NCBI's taxonomy places the organism in Eukaryota, Metazoa, Chordata, Aves, Anseriformes, Anatidae.
UUAAUGCCAAAACCCUCAAGACUUCCACUGUCCCAACAGAUGCAUGACAAGAAAUUAAACCCACCAGCCCCAGUGCUGUGUGCAUGUACGUGAACUCUGGGAACUUCAGUGUUAGGGGAGUUGUAGGCCUGAAAUUGUUUAUGGUACCAACAGAUAGCAAAGGGCCUGCCUUCGGCCUCUUCUCAACUCUCAACAACUGAGCAAAAAUGUUCCAAGCAACUUCUGAGUGGUAAUAGUCUUUCAUUGAGAACAUGUGUUUUAAGAAAGUAUUAGACAGAUAAUCCAGUUCAGUGCUGAAGUUUCUGGGCUCAGCCCUGCAGUCUGACAUAGAAGUUGUGGCUGAUUAAACCUGAGCUUAUUUGGUUACUGUGUCAGAAUUAUGGCAUUGCUCGGAGCCUUUUUAACUCGUUCCAGGUGAAACAAGGCUCCCUCUUCUAGCUGGUGUUACUUCAAAAAGCAGUCCCAAGUUAUGAAGGUUACAACAGUCUUGUUGACUGAUGUGAUCAACAGGGAGAAUGAUUUCUCACUCAUGUAUAGCUGGUGGGUGGCCGGGUACACCAGAGUUCUUUAGGACUUGCCUGAAUUUUGUUCUAAAUGUUGUGUCUGUACGGUCAAUGUUCAUUACUCUUGCAGAUAAGAGGUGGAACAUGCAAAUGCGUUUAUAGCAGUGGUUGCACAAGUCUGUUCUAAAAUACUAUAUUCUGUUGCCUAAUGCUUCUGAAUUAAUGUGUUUUCUUCACUCAAGAAUACAUUAUUUCACCUGAACAAUAUGAGCAAAAAUCUCAGGCUUUGGAAUAGAGUGGUACCAGGGAGGUUCUGUAUAGUUUGUGUGAGUACUUGAAAGGGAUGGGGGGGAACCUAGAAAGGAAUCUUGUUUACAGUCAUCCCCUCCCCCCUUCCUUUUCUAGUGUUUUAAGACCACAGCAGGAUUUUGGGUGUAAAUGAUUCACUUGACAUGGCAUGUGAGAAAACUUGUUUUUAAAAUACAUACAGAUAGAUUUUAAUGUUGACUGUUUUGCUUCGCUCCUACUUGUGUUCAGCACCAGCCUGUCUGUUUGAGCCAGCAUCCUUUUGUGAGUUGUGUGCCUGGGGGAAGGGAGGGUGACGUGCCUUCUGAACUCUGCUGUGAUUUACAGCAGUGUAUGAAGAAAAUGGCAGGGCCCGAUGAUACUGCAUCAUACAUCGUCAUCGUUGUAUUUGCUCUGGGUAUACUUCCUCUUCCAUUUUUCUUCCUACUGUUUUCUAGGUCAAAAUUUAGGUGUUUGUCUGAUUUUGCCCCUGUCAGCUGGCUAUCCCUGUAGAUGAAAUGAAUCCUACUUUAACUGCAUUAUUUUCUUGAAGAGUUCUGUCCUAAAUUUCAAGGUGCUUGGAGAUGGAAUCAUGAUUUAUUACACAGUGUUAUCCAGUGAAUUGCUUCACAUCCUUACUUUUUUGGAUGAGCAGUGAUGGGGCCAGGGACAGUAAUGUUUUCCACCUAGCCUUCAUUUUAAAACUUGUUUUUAAACCAAAUUCAUUCAGACACUGACCACAGGGAAUGUCAACAUUUUCUUUUGUUCUUUUAUUAUUACAAAUUGAAAUGAAAAGAUGUUAAUUUCAAAUUGAACACUAAAAAUAAGAACAAAAAAAACUCAUUUUCAUGCAAGUUAUCAGUCCCAAUUAUCAACUUGAUUACUUGCUUGGACCAUUUCUACAACAUUAAGCAUGUAUGAUACUUGUUUAAAGUAAAUUAUUAAAAAUACAGUAUGCUCUAAUAUUUAUAUUUUAUCCUAAUUUGCAUUGUAUCUUCAAUUAUAUUUGUAUUUCUUCCACCAACUUUCCACAGAAUAUGUUCUUCCUUGGUGUGUUACAAAAAUAUUUAUUUUCCUUUGUAUUGGUGGGAAAUGCUCUUCUGUGAAAAAUCCUAACCAGAUGUACUUAGAAUUGUUUUACCAGCAAAAUGAUUUCUCAUUCUGUGGGCAUUGAGUAACUACCUGGUGUUCAUACCAAAAAAGAAAAUAAAAUAUUCUAUAAUAUAAGCAGAAGGUACCACGCCCUAUCCAUCAUUAUACCUUCUUCUAAAAUCGAUCUGCUUUCAUUAUGGCCUGAGAUGCCAUGGAGCUUCUCAGUAUGUUUUCAAGUGCCGUGUAUAAGUGUUCACGACGAAAUAAAGCUGUUUUGUGAUUUCCAUGUCUCCUGCAUUUUAAAAUGCACUACAGAGAAAAAUAGAUUGUUUUGUAUUAUAUAUGCUUAGCUUUCACACAGCUGUGGAUGUUAUUGCUUUAGGCAGCACUUAAGAAAGAAAUCUGACUUCAAAUUUUGUUUGUCUAGUCUCAUCCACACUAUUAUCUAUGUCUAGUGCACUGAACAGUGAACUGAACUACUUCUGGAAGAGGCUUUAAGCCAUUCAUCUCUGCUGGCUGCAUAGGUGCAAUUCACUUGCUGAGAAUCACAAGGAAAAUUAUUCCUGGUUACUCACAAAUUUGUCUGCUUUUUCUAGCAGGCAGUCCUCUUACGGCACAGAGCUAAUGUAGCAAGAGAACUUAUUAAAAAAUAACAUAAUGUGGCAAUGGCAACACAUCAUAAAGUGCUUGCUACAGUUUUGUCUGUCCCCUUAGUCCAAAAUAAAGUCUCUCAAAUGUAUCCUUACUCCAGAAUACAUCCAUGAUAUACAAUUGAAUGUAAAGUCAUACUCUGUAAUACACUGAUUGCUUCCUUAGGAAGUCAUUUGACAUACCAUAAAAUCAGUAUGAUCAUAGUAACAUGUAGAAUUUUCAUAAUUGCCCUGCAAAGCUCAUUUAUAACAGUUUCAAGUUCAGGCCAUCAAAGCCGAGCUGUUACAGAAACCUAAAGCUAAAGAAUGAUGUGUUAUGUGUGUAUCUUUGCAUGGUGGUAGUAGUCACAGGAUCAUGGAAUUGGUUUGGGUUGGAAGGGACAUUAAAGACCAUCCAUUAAAGACCACUAAAUUCCACCCCCCUGCCAUGGGCACAGAUACCUCCCACCAGACCAGGCUGCCCAAAGCCCCAUCCAGCCUGGCCUUGAACACCUCCAAGGAUGGGGCAUCCACAGCUUCUCUGGGCAACCUGUGCCAGGGCCUCACCACCCUCAAAGUAAAAGAUUUCUUCCAAAUACCUAAUUUAAUCUAUAUUUUUUUUUAGUUUGAAGACAUUGUACCUUGUCCUAUCACUUCAUUCCCUGACAAAGAGUCCCUCUCCUGCUUUUUUGUAGGCAGUAACAAUAAUGGUUCAACUGGAGAACUGCACUUCCAGCACUACAGCAUCCUCUGAGUGCUAAGUGUCACUGAUAGAACAGGUUCAAGUGCUCAUGAAGAAUGUGAUCUUUCCGAUCUUGCCAUUUAAAUAUAAAAGGUGACCAUAUACAGUAGUCUGAAGGUACCUGGGAGAUCUUUCUGCAAUCUUUUCACAAAUGGGUUUUUGCAUGAAGAUGAACAACCACACCAAGAAAACAAUAUGCUUAUAUCAAGUUGUUUUCAAUCCCUGAGUGCAGAAAUGAGCUGAGUAAAAUGCUAAGUAUGCUGAAACAUUGGGCGUGGAAAUCAGUCUUGCCAUCUUGGCGAAUUACACAGUUUUACUUCUGUGCAGAAGACAGCAACAUUGCCAUGAUACAUAAAGCUCCAGGCUCCUAGCAAAUUUCAGCCAGCCCCGCAGAUGGAGCAAGAAGGGUGAAGGUGCCUUGCUUUGAGCUGUUACAACCCAUUUGUCCACUGACUAGAGGAAGAACAGCCAGUCUAAGCUACAAGGGAAAAUGGAGUUCUCUCUUUCUCAUAGGAAAAUAAAAUCAGCAAGACUCGCAUUCAAUCAACCGUGCUUGUGAACAUUCUGAUUCUGCUGUCUGUGGGACUAGUACUGCAAAUCCGUAAUGUGUGCGUGCCUUUGUGCUGGAUGAGAUCUGUCACGUGUGGAAACGUGCCAUAGGCCAUGCUGGUACAGUGUCUGGUGAAACUUUCACGAAGCCUUUGACAUAGCUGUCAAGAAAUUCCCAAGCAUGUAUCUGGAAUGGCAGGAACCACAGAGGUGACCUUGGAAAUCAGACUUUGUUAGAAUAUUAUGCAACAUAUUUUGUAAGUCCUACUUAAAUGUUUGCAGAAGUAAUUCUACAAGUUGAGUUGUAUUGCACAGUGCUACCACUAUUAAAUGCUGAACAACACAUUGCGUUCACUACCAAUAGUGAAUGUAAAAGUCAUUUAAAAUAAAAAUCCUUACCACUCUGAGCUCUGGAAACCCAUACUAGCUUUAGCUGCUUCUUGUAGCUAAAAAACUCAGCAACCUGUUGAAUCUGGAGCUGUGUUUCACGAGGGAGGCAAGAUCAAGCUUUCCAGCUCCAGUAGAAUUGGAGGCAAAGCAUGUUUCUUCUGUCUGUAGAGAUGAUAAGGAUCAUGUUUUAAUAACAAAAACAAUAAAAAAAAAAUAGCAGGAUGAUUCACAUAAACUAUUUUCCUGCCUUGGGAGGCCAGUUACUCAUGUUAAGGUCUAAUUACAUGUCACUGAAGUCAUCCUUUUAACUCCAUUUCCCUUAUUUGGAUAAUUUAGCAACAAGAUAUCUCAGUGAAAAUAGGACAAAACAAACAAAUAAACAAAAAAAUCUCUCCAUGAAAACAGGAAUGAAGACACUUUCCAAACACUACACAAUAGUCUCAACUAUUGUCAGGACUACAAAGGA